This 253-nucleotide ribosomal RNA is filed under the name uncultured bacterium. RNAcentral's name for it is "partial 16S ribosomal RNA". It matches the Rfam family "Bacterial small subunit ribosomal RNA", at positions 524 to 776 of the family's 1533-position model. The record is from RNAcentral.
UACAGAGGGUGCAAGCGUUAAUCGGAAUUACUGGGCGUAAAGGGUGCGUAGGUGGAUACGUAAGUCAGAUGUGAAAUCCCUGGGCUUAACUUAGGAACUGCAUUUGAUACUGUGUAUCUAGAGUAUGGUAGAGGUAAGUGGAAUUUCCGGUGUAGCGGUGAAAUGCGUAGAUAUCGGAAGGAACAUCAGUGGCGAAGGCGACUUACUGGACUGAUACUGACACUGAGGCACGAAAGCGUGGGGAGCGAACAGG